ACAGGACUCUGCGAACUCGGAAGAGGACGUAUAGGGUCUGACGCCUGCCCGGUGCCGGAAGGUUAAGAGGAGAGCUGCGAGGCUUGAAUCGAAGCCCCGGUAAACGGCGGCCGUAACAAUAACGGUCCUAAGGUAGCGAAAUUCCUUGUCGGGUAAGUUCCGACCUGCACGAAUGGCGUAACGACUUCCCCACUGUCUCCGGUGCGGUCUCAGCGAAAUUGAAUUCCCCGUGAAGAUGCGGGGUUCCCGCGGUCAGACGGAAAGACCCCGUGCACCUUUACUGCAACUUUGCAUUGGCGUUAGGGACGGCCUGUGUAGGAUAGGUGGUAGGCUUUGAAGUGCGGGCGCCAGCUCGCAUGGAGCCACCCUUGAAAUACCACCCUUGCUUUCUCUGACGUCUAACCGAGGGACUCACCCUCCCCGGGACCGUGCAUGGUGGGCAGUUUGACUGGGGCGGUCGCCUCCCAAAGAGUAACGGAGGCGCGCGAUGGCAGGCUCAGGCUGGUCGGAAAUCAGCCGCUGAGUGCAAUGGCACAAGCCUGCUUGACUGCGAGAUCGACGGAUCGAGCAGAGACGAAAGUCGGCCAUAGUGAUCCGGUGGUCCCGUGUGGAAGGGCCAUCGCUCAACGGAUAAAAGGUACGCCGGGGAUAACAGGCUGAUCACGCCCAAGCGUCCAUAGCGACGGCGUGGUUUGGCACCUCGAUGUCGGCUCAUCGCAUCCUGGGGCUGGAGCAGGUCCCAAGGGUAUGGCUGUUCGCCAUUUAAAGCGGUACGUGAGCUGGGUUUAGAACGUCGUGAGACAGUUCGGUCCCUAUCUGCCGUGGGUGUAGGAAGUUUGAGAGGAUCUGCCUUUAGUACGAGAGGACCGAGGUGGACGUAUCUCUGGUGUACCAGUUGUCACGCCAGUGGCAUAGCUGGGUAGCUAAAUACGGACGGGAUAACCGCUGAAUGCAUCUAAGCGAGAAUAUCGUGACUGGGAAAC
This 983-nucleotide ribosomal RNA is filed under the name freshwater metagenome. Its description in RNAcentral is "bacterial LSU rRNA". It matches the Rfam family "Bacterial large subunit ribosomal RNA", at positions 1815 to 2810 of the family's 2925-position model. The record is from RNAcentral.